This 275-nucleotide unclassified non-coding RNA is filed under the name Hevea brasiliensis (rubber tree). The record is from RNAcentral. Lineage: Eukaryota; Viridiplantae; Streptophyta; Magnoliopsida; Malpighiales; Euphorbiaceae.
GAGGUGACAUUUGACUACAAUUUUGUCCGAAUCUUUGGGGCUGCAGUAAAAAAGUGUGUCUGUGGUUCACCUAAUUGUCGGGGUUAUAUAGGUGGUGACCCGCUGGAUGCGGAAGUGAUUGUUCAGGAGGAUUCAGAUGAUGAGUAUCCUGAGCCUGUCUUGCUGCCCAAGUAUGCCAAAAUGGAUCAAAAAGAAGACAACAUUACAUGUGCUACAAGUUCUAUUAAGUGUGCUAAAAUUAAAAUCCAACGGAAACGACCUAAUAAGAAAAACAC